This 293-nucleotide ribosomal RNA is filed under the name uncultured bacterium. RNAcentral's name for it is "partial 16S ribosomal RNA". It matches the Rfam family "Bacterial small subunit ribosomal RNA", at positions 30 to 323 of the family's 1533-position model. The record is from RNAcentral.
AUUGAACGCUGGCGGCAUGCCUUACACAUGCAAGUCGAACGGCAGCACGGGAGCAAUCCUGGUGGCGAGUGGCGAACGGGUGAGUAAUAUAUCGGAACGUGCCCAGUCGUGGGGGAUAACGUAGCGAAAGCUACGCUAAUACCGCAUACGAUCUAUGGAUGAAAGCGGGGGAUCGCAAGACCUCGCGCGAUUGGAGCGGCCGAUAUCAGAUUAGGUAGUUGGUGAGGUAAAGGCUCGCCAAGCCGACGAUCUGUAGCUGGUCUGAGAGGACGACCAGCCACACUGGGACUGAG